Molecule: unclassified non-coding RNA, 5543 nt
Filed under: Ooceraea biroi (clonal raider ant)
Lineage: Eukaryota; Metazoa; Arthropoda; Insecta; Hymenoptera; Formicidae
Description: uncharacterized LOC105284588, transcript variant X1
Source: RNAcentral
AGCUUUCUAUUUCUACCGAAGGUAAUAUCUGCUUUAUUUUAGUUUAUUUUAGACAUUAAGCUUAUUAUUCACUAAACAUAUCUGCUAAUGUUGUUCGCCAACAGUUUUGUUUUAAGUAAAUACAUUAGCGGGAAAGCUUGAAUUAAAUAAAAUUAUAACUAGGUGUAGAUCGUGCUGUAAUUCGGAAUUUAACUUUGGCAAAAGAAAACGAAUGGUGAUUAGGCAGAGAGUGAAUAGACGGAGAAUGCCGACAAAUGAGAUACCCAUGUCUGAACAGACAGUAUACGAGGAAAUACAAGUUAUCGGAUAAAUACGUGACAUCAAAUAUGGAGCAAAACGUCUCGAUUUGUUUAAGCAAUAGCUAUCGCGCUAUUAUUUCUAAAGUGCAUUAAGUGCACAGAAGAUAAUUUAAGAGACAAGAUCAUUUAGGAGACAAGAUCAUUUAAUGUUUCCAUUUUUAAUUUCUACUUUCAAAAUAUAACGUAAACUAACAAUAAGAUACGGAAAUAUACUUAGCUGUAUUUACAACAAUGUAUAAUUUGUUUUAACAAUAUAGCAUAAUACUAAAUAAAUAAUUAUCGUGUAAAAUUAAUUACUAAAUUAAUUACUAAAUAACUAAUAAAUUGUAAUUAGUUAUUAGUAGUAAUUAAUAUAUUAUUUAGUUCAUCGUCAAGCUUUUUUCCAUAGAAUAGUGUCGGAUAUAACAUAUGAUUUAUUGAAAACAAAAUAUGUAAUAAGGCAUUUGCAGUGUAUUAAUAUAAAAAUUGAUAUGUACAUACUGUGUGUUUGGAGAACUUUAUCAUUUCCUGAUGUGUCACUUGCGUUUAGCGGAUAAGAAAUCUGUUAUCGCGGAUAGAAAUAUCCUUUAAGGAAAAGCGUUUCCUCUCUAUCAAGAUGUCAACCAAUACUACUUCAGUAAUCUGAACAGUAUGAGUCGAAAACACGGUGCAAACGGUUUCCGUAAAAUUUCGCUUCUAUCCUUAUUUUAUUUGAAUCCAAUUAUCACGAUUAAAAUGCAAGUUAUUCAUUAAAGGACGCAAAAGUGUUGCAAUUAAAUUAGAUUAAAUACGCGAUAUGUAGUAUCACAUAUGUCACGCAAUAAACUGAUAUAGACAUACAUCGAAGUGAUGAUAAAACAAAAAACUUAAUUAGGUGCUACAUUUAUUCUGCCAAGUUUUGCUUCGUUCAUUUUGUUUCUGAAAAUCGUUAAUUUGUUCAGUGGGACGUAUAUAUUUAAUAAAAAUGCGAAGAGCUGUGAUGGAUAUGUUAAUGUUCCUUCUCUUCGCAAGUCAGGUACUUCAUGUUUUCGGAAAAGUGAUUGUAAUACGCAAACUGAAUAAAGCAAAUGAAAUGAAACUGGCAUGUCUCUCAGAAGACGAUGGCGGCGCUCUUGUGUGGAACGAUCUAAUAUCGAAAGAAUCAAUCAAAAUAUCAAACAAAAUGCAAUUUAGUAACGUGGAUGAUGUUGCGAAAAAUAAAAAGAAGAUAGAUUGCAAGAUGAACAAAAUCGACGAUUGCUGGAAAUCGUGGACUACAGAAAAAUGGAAUCUUACUGAUUCCCUUAAAACGCCUUUGGGUCCGGUAUUUGAUCAACGCUGGGAAGAAUUCACAGAACAUGGGAUUUUUGAUCGCUUAAAUCAUCCUAUAGAACUAAGAAACACUACAGCGUUUUCCAUUUCGGUUCGUGCAGCCGCUAGGGUGACCAUAACUCUUUGCAACGGCUCUAAAUAUAAACAAAAUUCUUGUUAUUCGAUCAUAAUAGGUAAUUACGGCAAUACAAAGUCCGUCAUACAAAAAUGUUCAAAAGGCAUACCCAUGGAAUGGCAGGAAUCUGAUGAGGAAUGCAGACAAUUUAAAGUUUCCUUCAGUCACAAACCAUUAUCUGCAACUGAAUGGCGAACUUUCCUCAUUACGUGGGACUCCGUAGCUCGGAAUAUAUCCGUUUUUGAUGCUGCCAGUAAUACUGUCUUUAUGAAAUAUCAAGAUAACGAACAAUCAAAUAGUUCAAAAAACUACCACAUGUUUAUAGCCAGCAUCAAUUCUAUGUUCUACCGAUUUCACAUAUAUACUUUUCUGCACACGACCGUUGAGAAUGCAAUUUUAAGGAGUCCGAUCUUUCAGUUCAAUAAUAAAAUGAUAUGUAUACAACUGUUAGCUGGCCUUUGUGCAGAAUGCGACAUAAACAUAACGCUAUAUGAUGCCACACACAAUAUUGAGUUGAAACAAUUCACGGUAAAAGGCUCCUCAAAGGCUACAGCACACGGUUUACCUACAUGGCAAUUCGUCACGAUUGAACAUUUAACUGAUCGUAAUAGUGCGAUAAUGGAAGUAAGACCUAUACUUAAUUCAAACAGUCCUAAUCCAUUAUGGGCGAUAGCGAAUGUUCGACAAUGUCCCAGAUAUGAAUCAUUUAGAAAAGGUGUUUUGUCUAUCUCUGUUAAUCCGUAUGUUUUUACAUACGUACAUACAUCGUCAAAUUUGACAUGUCAAAAAUUAUUUUACGAUGAGCAUACCGUCGUGAGUAGUUUGUCGGAUGUCAAAUCGAAUAUGAACUUAGAUGAUACUGAGUGUCCUGAAGGCAAAUUUGGACCAAGAUGUUCGGUUUCUUGCGAUCUUGUAUCAAACGCUGGUAAUGAUUGCAAAGACUCUGCAAUCUGUUAUCAAAAUGGUUGCACCUGUUUUCCUGGUUUCAUGGGACGUUACUGUUCUAGACCUUGUCAAGGAAAUAUGUACGGACAAAAUUGUAACAAAACUUGCGAUUCGUGCAUGGUCAGGAAAGAAUCAACAUCUCUAUGUAAUAAAGUAACUGGAGUAUGUAAUUAUGGAUGCAAUAACCAUCCAAACAAACUUUAUAUACCACCUAUGUGUCAAAUGAGUAUAACCAAGCCGGGCGCACCUCUAGUUAACUUUAUAAAUACCGUAAAUAUCCAAGUGAAACUUCUUAUCACAUGGAAGGAGGAGUAUGAUGGACCACUCUUUUAUUCCUUCAUCAUUCAAACCACAAAUAAUAUUAAUAUUAAUGGAAUACGCUGGAAGCCAGUAUUUCAAAAUGUAACAGAGCUGACGGGAGUUUUUACAAAUUUAAAAUCUAAUGUUAUUUAUUACAUUAUAUGCAUAUUACGUGCUUGUAACCAAGAUGGCAAGUUAUGUAAUGACAUAUCGAGCGAACGACACAUCGUAGAAAUAAAUUGCAAUCAGUCUAAUUUCUUCUUGAUACCCGAAGAACAUAGCUUGUCGAUUAAUUGGAAAAACGAACUAAACCAGCAACUAUAUUCGUGUGUAGCGAAUCGAUACAUGUUGAUAGUACAACAGGCAAAUACGAGCGAAGAAAUCUUAAAUACAUCAAUUGACAAACUUCCAUACAAAGUAUCUUCAUUACCAUCAUACACUUUAUUUAAUGUAAUUAUACUUCAGAAAAAUAAGAAAAUAUUUUCUAAACAAAUUCGUACACUCAAAGAAGCUCCAUUGAAAAUUUCAAAUCUUCGAAGCUUGAACGUAUCUGACACUAAUGUCACUUUGAGCUGGAUGGCUCCAAAACAACUAAAUGAAGAAAAAAUAAUGGAGUAUGAAGUAACAUUGCAGGUUAAAAAAUACUAUGGUUGUACCGAUUCUAAACCUCUUUUAAAUAAUCCCAACACUACAUACUUGACAAACGACACAACCAUUACAAUCCAGAAUUUACAUCCAUAUGCACUGUACAAUGCAGAAGUUGUUGUUUAUAAUUCACAAUAUAAUAGCGAGCCCGAAGAAACAACCUUUGAAACAAAAGUAUCUGCUAUAGCAACGGAAGUAUACAGCAAUAUAAACGUGCAAGGUUGGAAUAUGACGUGGGAACCACCUGAAGACUGCAGGACGAUUACGGGACCAUUAUAUUCAAGGAUACAAAUAUACGGAAUAAGUGAUGAUGUUAAAGAUGUUAAUAUGAUGAAACAAACAGCUUACUAUCACUUGUCUUUAAAGGAAAUUCAGUUAGACGGUGCUGAACGAUACAUGGCAAAACUGUACGUGAUAAGACGUGCGACAGGCUUAGAAAAUCAUUUCGCUUAUCAAACAUAUGAGUUUGAAACUCCAUCUAAAGCUCCGCCUAAGGUAAUCAAUCUGGAAGUCUAUGAAAUUGACAGUCGUCAAAAUCCUACUAUUGUAUAUUUGAGAUGGCAACGUCCACGUCCACCUCUCAACGGGAUAUUGCAUGCUUAUCGCAUCCGAUUAUGUGAAAGAAAUGAAUGCACUAAUAAUACAGUUGAAUCAAAUGCUGUCUGUAACUUAUGGGACAAUUAUAUUUGUGGAUCUAUUCAGAGAUAUUCAAAGAAACAGCAGAUGCUUGAAGUUGUGGCGAGCAAUGUUAAUGUUUCUAAACCAGGCAUUCCGUUUGUAGUGUCUAUGAUAAAUCUUGAUAACGCAGCUCCAGACCAACCUGAUAAUUUCACCAUUACAACGCUCAAUAAUAGCGUAGUGGAUCUACAGUGGUGUCAUCCUUGGAAAACGGGCAGUCCUCUGGAGUAUUUUCGUAUUCAGAUGAACCCGAUUUCAACAAAUCUGCAAACGCUUUCGGAAAAUGAUAAAUUUCCGAAAAAUCACAGUUUGCCAAUUAAAAUCGAAUUCAUGGUGUCCAAUUAUACACGUAAUUACCACGAACGAUUAUACCUGCUUCCUUCAACGCAGUACCUCGUCUCCAUUCAAGCUGUAACGUAUAACAACAGAACUAGCAAAAUAAUGUACAAGAACUUCGAAACACCUUCUACUUUAAAGUUCAAUGGUCAUCUAAAAUACAUGCUAUCUGAUUCGAUGAUUUCACUGGAUAUACCGCCUGUUUUGAACAAUACGAAGAACAGCAUGAUACACGUCAUAGUAAAAGGGCCUAAACCCUGCGAGGAAUAUUUAAAAGUACCUAAAAAUUUACAAGCGCAAGCAGGAGUGCAGGUGGAUGAUGACGCUUGGCAAGCCGCUGAGCUUCCGACUCAAAAGCUCGCUGGCAAACCGUUCAUAAUUGGUAACAAUCAAUUUUAUGGCAAAGCCAAGAACUGCCCACACAACCUAAGGAAUUGUAUGAAAUAAUAGUUCUCGUCGUUGAGCGUAACCAAAAUUUGUCUAGCAAAGCCAUACUCAAAAUAUCGUUUCGCAACAAUGAUGUUUCAUCGACGCAUCACGAAAAGUGGAUUAUACCCAUACUGUUAAUCAUCAUCGGGGCAGCCAUAGCUUUUUAUUUCUACCGAAGGAAAAAGCAAGGAGAAGCUAAACAAAAGAUAUUGCAAAAUGAGACAACUUUGUCUCAAGACGUAACAUACAAAGCACAGGAUGAAGCCCAUGAUAUUAAAUUAGAAGCAAAAUCUUCCGAUCCUAGUCAGCAGUAAUGACUGUGGAUGGCUACUCUAAAAGCUGCACCCUGCUAUCGAAAAUGAUGAGAAGAUAAAUCUUUGAUUGAGUUUUUAAUUCUUAACUUUAAAAUGUCAUACAAAUUAUAGUAUCAAAAUAAUACAUUUACAAUAAGAUCGCAUAAUACUAAGAAAAUUAAUAUAAAUAACUAUUUAGCAUUAUAGCACUUA